CCGCGGGAUUAGAGUUUGAUCCUGGCUCAGGACGAACGCUGGCGGCGUGCUUAACACAUGCAAGUCGAACGGAAAGGCCCUGCUUUUGUGGGGUGCUCGAGUGGCGAACGGGUGAGUAACACGUGAGUAACCUGCCCUUGACUUUGGGAUAACUUCAGGAAACUGGGGCUAAUACCGGAUAGGAGCUCCUGCUGCAUGGUGGGGGUUGGAAAGUUUCGGCGGUUGGGGAUGGACUCGCGGCUUAUCAGCUUGUUGGUGGGGUAGUGGCUUACCAAGGCUUUGACGGGUAGCCGGCCUGAGAGGGUGACCGGCCACAUUGGGACUGAGAUACGGCCCAGACUCCUACGGGAGGCAGCAGUGGGGAAUAUUGCACAAUGGGCGGAAGCCUGAUGCAGCAACGCCGCGUGCGGGAUGACGGCCUUCGGGUUGUAAACCGCUUUCGCCUGUGACGAAGCGUGAGUGACGGUAAUGGGUAAAGAAGCACCGGCUAACUACGUGCCAGCAGCCGCGGUGAUACGUAGGGUGCGAGCGUUGUCCGGAUUUAUUGGGCGUAAAGGGCUCGUAGGUGGUUGAUCGCGUCGGAAGUGUAAUCUUGGGGCUUAACCCUGAGCGUGCUUUCGAUACGGGUUGACUUGAGGAAGGUAGGGGAGAAUGGAAUUCCUGGUGGAGCGGUGGAAUGCGCAGAUAUCAGGAGGAACACCAGUGGCGAAGGCGGUUCUCUGGGCCUUUCCUGACGCUGAGGAGCGAAAGCGUGGGGAGCGAACAGGCUUAGAUACCCUGGUAGUCCACGCUGUAAACGGUGGGUACUAAGUGUGGGGUCCAUUCCACGGGUUCCGUGCCG
Molecule: ribosomal RNA, 841 nt
Filed under: uncultured Actinomycetes bacterium
Lineage: Bacteria; Bacillati; Actinomycetota; Actinomycetes
Description: bacterial SSU rRNA
Rfam family: Bacterial small subunit ribosomal RNA
Source: RNAcentral